GUGUGAAUAUUCUUGCUGUUCUGAUUUUGUAAUAAUCUGGUUAGGUUAAACAUUCGCUAUAUUAAGACCAUGCAUGUGUCCUGAGGCCUAGGUCUUUUCU
RNAcentral lists this small nucleolar RNA (100 nucleotides) under Jaculus jaculus (lesser Egyptian jerboa). RNAcentral's name for it is "Small nucleolar RNA SNORA72 (ENSJJAG00000008760.1)". It matches the Rfam family "Small nucleolar RNA SNORA72", at positions 1 to 100 of the family's 132-position model. From Rfam's summary of the family: U72 is a member of the H/ACA class of snoRNAs. The snoRNA gene is located in intron 4 of the ribosomal L30 protein gene in human, mouse and chicken. The record is from RNAcentral. Lineage: Eukaryota; Metazoa; Chordata; Mammalia; Rodentia; Dipodidae.